RNAcentral lists this ribosomal RNA (443 nucleotides) under uncultured bacterium. Its description in RNAcentral is "partial 16S ribosomal RNA". It matches the Rfam family "Bacterial small subunit ribosomal RNA", at positions 338 to 795 of the family's 1533-position model. The record is from RNAcentral.
CCUACGGGUGGCAGCAGUGGGGAAUAUUGGGCAAUGGAGGAAACUCUGACCCAGCAACGCCGCGUGAAUGAUGAAGGUCUUCGGAUUGUAAAGUUCUUUUCUAAGGGAAGAAGAAAGUGACGGUACCUUAUGAAUGAGCCUAGGCUAACUACGUGCCAGCAGCCGCGGUAAUCCGUAGGCGGCGAUCGUUCUCCGGAAUGACUGGGGGUAAGGGUUGCGUAGGUUGGUUGGCAAGUUAGUAGCGAAACUCCAAGGCUCAACCUUGGAACUACUACUAAAACUGUUGGCCUUGAGCGCAGGAGGGGCAACCGGAAUGCGUAGUGUAGCGGUGGAAUGCGUAGAGAUCAGGAGGAACACCAGUGGCGAAGGCAGGUUGCUAGACUGUAACUGACACUGAGGCACGAAAGCGUGGGGAGCAAACAGGAUUAGAUACCCCAGUAGUC